This 458-nucleotide ribosomal RNA is filed under the name uncultured bacterium. Its description in RNAcentral is "bacterial SSU rRNA". It matches the Rfam family "Bacterial small subunit ribosomal RNA", at positions 328 to 803 of the family's 1533-position model. The record is from RNAcentral.
UAGCGGAACUCCUACGGGAGGCAGCAGUGGGGAAUUUUGGACAAUGGGGGCAACCCUGAUCCAGCAAUGCCGCGUGAGUGAUGAAGGCCUUAGGGUUGUAAAGCUCUUUUACCCGGGAUGAUAAUGACAGUACCGGGAGAAUAAGCUCCGGCUAACUCCGUGCCAGCAGCCGCGGUAAUACGGAGGGAGCUAGCGUUAUUCGGAAUUACUGGGCGUAAAGCGCACGUAGGCGGCUUUGUAAGUUAGAGGUGAAAGCCUGGAGCUCAACUCCAGAAUUGCCUUUAAGACUGCAUCGCUUGAAUCCAGGAGAGGUGAGUGGAAUUCCGAGUGUAGAGGUGAAAUUCGUAGAUAUUCGGAAGAACACCAGUGGCGAAGGCGGCUCACUGGACUGGUAUUGACGCUGAGGUGCGAAAGCGUGGGGAGCAAACAGGAUUAGAAACCCCUGUAGUCCACUUAUG